GGUGUGACUGCGUACCUUUUGUAUAAUGGGUCAGCGACUUAUAUUCUGUAGCAAGGUUAACCGAAUAGGGGAGCCGGAGGGAAACCGAGUCUUAAUUGGGCGUUAAGUUGCAGGGUAUAGACCCGAAACCCGGUGAUCUAGCCAUGGGCAGGUUGAAGGUUGGGUAACACUAACUGGAGGACCGAACCGACUAAUGUUGAAAAAUUAGCGGAUGACCUGUGGCUGGGGGUGAAAGGCCAAUCAAACCGGGAGAUAGCUGGUUCUCCCCGAAAGCUAUUUAGGUAGCGCCUCGUGAAUUCAUCUCCGGGGGUAGAGCACUGUUUCGGCUAGGGGGCCAUCCCGGCUUACCAACCCGAUGCAAACUGCGAAUACCGGAGAAUGUUAUCACGGGAGACACACGGCGGGUGCUAACGUCCGUCGUGAAGAGGGAAACAACCCAGACCGCCAGCUAAGGUCCCAAAGUCAUGGUUAAGUGGGAAACGAUGUGGGAAGGCCCAGACAGCCAGGAUGUUGGCUUAGAAGCAGCCAUCAUUUAAAGAAAGCGUAAUAGCUCACUGGUCGAGUCGGCCUGCGCGGAAGAUGUAACGGGGCUAAACCAUGCACCGAAGCUGCGGCAGCGACGCUGAUGCGUUGUUGGGUAGGGGAGCGUUCUGUAAGCCUGCGAAGGUGACCUGUGAGGGUUGCUGGAGGUAUCAGAAGUGCGAAUGCUGACAUAAGUAACGAUAAAGCGGGUGAAAAGCCCGCUCGCCGGAAGACCAAGGGUUCCUGUCCAACGUUAAUCGGGGCAGGGUGAGUCGACCCCUAAGGCGAGGCCGAAAGGCGUAGUCGAUGGGAAACGGGUUAAUAUUCCCGUACUUGGUGUUACUGCGAAGGGGGGACGGAGAAGGCUAUGUUGGCCGGGCGACGGUUGUCCCGGUUUAAGCGUGUAGGUGUGUGUUCCAGGUAAAUCCGGUUCACUUUAACACUGAGGCGUGAUGACGAGGCACUACGGUGCUGAAGCAACAAAUGCCCUGCUUCCAGGAAAAGCCUCUAAGCAUCAGGUAACAUCAAAUCGUACCCCAAACCGACACAGGUGGUCAGGUAGAGAAUACCAAGGCGCUUGAGAGAACUCGGGUGAAGGAACUAGGCAAAAUGGUGCCGUAACUUCGGGAGAAGGCACGCUGACACGUAGGUGAAGUGAUUUACUCACGGAGCUGAAGUCAGUCGAAGAUACCAGCUGGCUGCAACUGUUUAUUAAAAACACAGCACUGUGCAAACACGAAAGUGGACGUAUACGGUGUGACGCCUGCCCGGUGCCGGAAGGUUAAUUGAUGGGGUCAGCGCAAGCGAAGCUCCUGAUCGAAGCCCCGGUAAACGGCGGCCGUAACUAUAACGGUCCUAAGGUAGCGAAAUUCCUUGUCGGGUAAGUUCCGACCUGCACGAAUGGCGUAAUGAUGGCCAGGCUGUCUCCACCCGAGACUCAGUGAAAUUGAACUCGCUGUGAAGAUGCAGUGUACCCGCGGCAAGACGGAAAGACCCCGUGAACCUUUACUAUAGCUUGACACUGAACAUUGAGCCUUGAUGUGUAGGAUAGGUGGGAGGCUUUGAAGUGUGGACGCCAGUCUGCAUGGAGCCGACCUUGAAAUACCACCCUUUAAUGUUUGAUGUUCUAACGUGGACCCGUAAUCCGGGUUGCGGACAGUGUCUGGUGGGUAGUUUGACUGGGGCGGUCUCCUCCUAAAGAGUAACGGAGGAGCACGAAGGUUGGCUAAUCCUGGUCGGACAUCAGGAGGUUAGUGCAAUGGCAUAAGCCAGCUUGACUGCGAGCGUGACGGCGCGAGCAGGUGCGAAAGCAGGUCAUAGUGAUCCGGUGGUUCUGAAUGGAAGGGCCAUCGCUCAACGGAUAAAAGGUACUCCGGGGAUAACAGGCUGAUACCGCCCAAGAGUUCAUAUCGACGGCGGUGUUUGGCACCUCGAUGUCGGCUCAUCACAUCCUGGGGCUGAAGUAGGUCCCAAGGGUAUGGCUGUUCGCCAUUUAAAGUGGUACGCGAGCUGGGUUUAGAACGUCGUGAGACAGUUCGGUCCCUAUCUGCCGUGGGCGCUGGAGAACUGAGGGGGGCUGCUCCUAGUACGAGAGGACCGGAGUGGACGCAUCACUGGUGUUCGGGUUGUCAUGCCAAUGGCACUGCCCGGUAGCUAAAUGCGGAAGAGAUAAGUGCUGAAAGCAUCUAAGCACGAAACUUGCCCCGAGAUGAGUUCUCCCUGAGACUUAGAGUCUCCUGAAGGAACGUUGAAGACGACGACGUUGAUAGGCCGGGUGUGUAAGCGCAGCGAUGCGUUGAGCUAACCGGUACUAAUGAACCGUGAGGCUUAACCUUACAACGCCGAAGAUGUUUUGGCGGAUGA
Molecule: ribosomal RNA, 2385 nt
Filed under: Salmonella enterica subsp. enterica serovar Typhimurium str. DT2
Lineage: Bacteria; Pseudomonadati; Pseudomonadota; Gammaproteobacteria; Enterobacterales; Enterobacteriaceae
Rfam family: Bacterial large subunit ribosomal RNA
Source: RNAcentral